Molecule: long non-coding RNA, 989 nt
Organism: Quercus robur (English oak)
Lineage: Eukaryota; Viridiplantae; Streptophyta; Magnoliopsida; Fagales; Fagaceae
Exons: 3
Source: RefSeq, a predicted model, not a curated record
UUUCUAUUCACUAUAAAAGAAUUAUGAACAAAGUCACCAUUUUAGACCAAAAAAAACCGUUUCUCUCUCUCUCUCUCAUUUUCAACUUUCAAGUCUUUCCCACCGUUAACGCGUAGUCUUCAAGUUCCAAAACGACACAGCAUCGAACUUUCUCUCUCUAUCUUUGUUUUCCUGAGAUUUUCUCGCAAAUUUUCUCGCUGCCUCAUUUUCCGGCAUUUUCACGAGCAGAAUUCCAAGGUUCAGUGUUGAGUGUCUCAUGUCAGAGGCUUUAUGAGUAACUUUGGUAGUAGAUUUUUCAUACUUGAGCAAUCAAUUUUAGGCAAGAAGAACAUUCUUGCAUAACCUGACAGUUGACGUCCGAUGAGAACAGACUGAGAAUGAGAAGAUCUGAAGCAUGCACUUCUGAGAAGUGAAAAUCCUUCCAUUUACCAUGGAGAUCAGGUUCAAAACUAGCAUGAGAGAGAAGAAUGUUAGGCCGAUGGAAGAAUUUAUUUGUCUAAUGAUGGAAGGCUCAUGCUUCUUUUGAGUACUUUGUUGAGCCUUCCCACCUAGUUUCUACCUCUUUUAAUUGUUCCAAUCCAUGCGGCUAAUAGCUUAGAGAUGUUGCAGCAUAAUCGGGUAGGACAAAUGAAGAAUUCAAAUUUCACUUGUUUGAAUGAAAUUGGUGUACCCUGUGAAGUAUGGUGAGUUGUUUGGAGUAAGCAGAUUGAGUGUCAUUUUGUUAGAAUGCAUAUUUCACUUUCCAGGUCAUUGAAGACCAAAUCAAGACCUUGAUUUCAAGAGAAAAUUAUGUAAUCGAUUACAACAGAAAAUUGUAUGAUUGAGACAAUUAAUAUGCAAUUCAAGUUCAAAUUUUUUAUUUUUUAUUUAUUUUUGUAUGUAAUCCCAUUAUAACAAUGGAUUCUAUUGUAAUGUAUUAUCAAGAAAAAUGUACAAGAAAAUAUGACUUUUUAGGCUCUUGUCCCAUGAAUAUAGGCCACAAAGUCAAA